CGCAAUGGGCGAAAGCCUGACGGAGCAAUACCGCGUGAGGGAGGAAGGCUCUUGGGUCGUAAACCUCUUUUCUCAGGGAAGAAGAAAGUGACGGUACCUGAGGAAUAAGCAUCGGCUAACUCCGUGCCAGCAGCCGCGGUAAUACGGAGGAUGCAAGCGUUAUCCGGAAUGAUUGGGCGUAAAGGGUCCGCAGGUGGCUAUGUAAGUCUGCUGUUAAAGAGUUUGGCUCAACCAGAUAAGAGCAGUGGAAACUACAUAGCUAGAGUGCGUUCGGGGCAGAGGGAAUUCCUGGUGUAGCGGUGAAAUGCGUAGAUAUCAGGAAGAACACCGGUGGCGAAAGCGCUCUGCUAGGCCGCAACUGACACUGAGGGACSAAAGCUAGGGGAGCGAAUGGGAUUAGAUACCCCAGUAGUCCUAGCCGUAAACGAUGGAUACUAGGCGUGGCUUGUAUCGACCCGAGCCGUGCCGUAGCUAACGCGUUAAGUAUCCCGCCUGGGGAGUACGCAGGCAACUGUGAAACUCAAAGGAAUUGACGGGGGCCCGCACAAGCGGUGGAGUAUGUGGUUUAAUUCGAUGCAACGCGAAGAACCUUACCAAGACUUGACAUGUCGUGAAUCUCUUUGAAAGGAGAGAGUGCCUUCGGGAGCGCGAACACAGGUGGUGCAUGGCUGUCGUCAGCUCGUGUCGUGAGAUGUUGGGUUAAGUCCCGCAACGAGCGCAACCCUCGUUUUUAGUUGCCAGCAUUAAGUUGGGCACUCUAGAGAGACUGCCGGUGACAAACCGGAGGAAGGUGAGGAUGACGUCAAGUCAGCAUGCCCCUUACGUCUUGGGCUACACACGUACUACAAUGCUACGGACAAAGGGCAGCUACACAGCGAUGUGAUGCUAAUCUCAUAAACCGUAGCUCAGUUCAGAUCGCAGGCUGCAACUCGCCUGCGUGAAGGAGGAAUCGCUAGUAAUUGCAGGUCAGCAUACUGCAGUGAAUUCGUUCCCGGGCCUUGUACACACCGCCCGUCACACCAUGGAAGUUGGUCACGCCCGAAGUCAUUACCCCAACCUUUUGGAGGGGGAUGCCUAAGUAGGACUGGUGACUGGGGGUGAAGUCGUAACAG
RNAcentral lists this ribosomal RNA (1112 nucleotides) under Anabaena sp. VRES L1_10. RNAcentral's name for it is "bacterial SSU rRNA". It matches the Rfam family "Bacterial small subunit ribosomal RNA", at positions 367 to 1494 of the family's 1533-position model. The record is from RNAcentral. Lineage: Bacteria; Bacillati; Cyanobacteriota; Cyanophyceae; Nostocales; Nostocaceae.